This 1010-nucleotide long non-coding RNA is filed under the name Sorghum bicolor (sorghum). Its description in RNAcentral is "long non-coding RNA (SBIC_LNC018086)". Lineage: Eukaryota; Viridiplantae; Streptophyta; Magnoliopsida; Poales; Poaceae. The record is from RNAcentral.
CCAUUUUUGCCCUUUGCUACGAUCUGAUUUUCUCAGAGUUUGGAUUGAUCCCAAGUAAUGAUUUUUUGGGGAUUGAUUCGUUACUAGUUGAAUCUCAUCUGUGCAAAGUUUGGGCGUUUUUCGUUGGGUUUUUGGUCGAGUUUCCUUUGUUUUUCUUCAGGGAGUUUUUCUGUUCGUCGCUCUGUUCUUGGGCUCUCGUGUGCAAGGUUUGUCUCAGCAGUAUUCAAUGGCAGCAGCACCCUCGCCGGCCUGUAUGCCGUGCACGCUCAUCAGAGCACUGCUUGCCUCUCUUUUGUGCUGAUUGGUUACGCUGCCCAUGGCUCGUGGUACUCCCUCCGUCCACGAAAGAGUUAAUUUCUAGAGUUGUACUAAGUCAAACUUUUUAAACUUUGACCAAAUUUCUAGAAAAAAGUGCUAAGAUUUAUAGUAUCAAAUUAGUAUUAUUAGAUUCAUCAUAGAAUAUAUUUUCAUAUAAUGUGCAUUUUAUAUUAUAGAUGUUGUUACUCUUUUCUAUAAAGUUAGUUAAACUUUAAAAAGUUUGACUGGCACGGAUCCUAGGAAUUGAUUCUUUCGUGGACGGAGGGAGUACUUGCUAGUUCAUGUACGGCACAGCACAUCCCCUGGCCGAUACGUUUCUGCUGGAGUGGACCUCCUAGCGCUGCAGCAGCUGUCCGGCAGUGCAGCCCCUGCCCAGCGCUCUGUCUUGCUGUAGCGUGUUGCCGUGAUCUCUCUUCUCCCUGUUUUGUUUCUCUGUCAGUAGGAGAGCAGUUCCUACGUUGGUGUGUAUGUAAUUUCCUUGCUUACUUUUGAUUGUUCGAUGGCAGAGUUUGUGCAUCAGUGAUCUACUGAAUUUCAUCAAAGUGCUUCCUGUGCUGUGCGGACUGUUUUGUUUCUUCGUUUGAUUCUUUGUUGGAUGUGAAGGUCUGUGGUUCCUAUUGGCCAGCAACUAUUGCUCUCCUGGUGUUUGCUUAGCAGUGCGUGCGCUUCACUGUGCUUGCUAUUCCUCUUAG